Molecule: ribosomal RNA, 497 nt
Filed under: uncultured bacterium
Lineage: Bacteria
Description: partial 16S ribosomal RNA
Rfam family: Bacterial small subunit ribosomal RNA
Source: RNAcentral
GAUGAACGCUGGCGGCGUGCCUAAUACAUGCAAGUCGAGCGAACAGACGAGGAGCUUGCUCCUCUGACGUUAGCGGCGGACGGGUGAGUAACACGUGGAUAACCUACCUAUAAGACUGGGAUAACUUCGGGAAACCGGAGCUAAUACCGGAUAAUAUAUUGAACCGCAUGGUUCAAUAGUGAAAGACGGUUUUGCUGUCACUUAUAGCUGGAUCCGCGCCGCAUUAGCUAGUUGGUAAGGUAACGGCUUACCAAGGCAACGAUGCGUAGCCGACCUGAGAGGGGGAUCGGCCACACUGGAACUGAGACACGGUCCAGACUCCUACGGGAGGCAGCAGUAGGGAAUCUUCCGCAAUGGGCGAAAGCCUGACUGAGCAACGCCGCGUGAGUGAUGAAGGUCUUCGGAUCGUAAAACUCUGUUAUUAGGGAAGAACAAAUGUGUAAGUAACUAUGCACGUCUUGACGGUAUCUAAUCAGAAAGCCACGGCUAACUACGUG